Anas platyrhynchos (mallard) is the source of this 13239-nucleotide long non-coding RNA. RefSeq lists it as uncharacterized. NCBI's taxonomy places the organism in Eukaryota, Metazoa, Chordata, Aves, Anseriformes, Anatidae. The record is from RefSeq and is a predicted model, not a curated record.
UUCCAACCUCAGCCAUUCUAUGACUUCUAUUUUUGUUGUUGCUGUUGUUUGGUUUCAUAUUGUUUUUCUUUAAUUUGUGGAAAUCUGAAUUUACUGUUUUAAUUAAUGUUUGGAUUCAAAAACACACCAAAUUCCUGUUCUUGAAAUACCCCCAAAUCACUCCUUGCUACAUACCUCAAAAGUUAUUUUUUAGACCAAAUGUUUUCAUACUCUUAGUUAUAAAUAACAUGUAUGAUGGAAGAGUAAUAUUCAAGCCUAAUAAGUUUCAUUUGUGUAUCACAAAACACAAAAAAUGUACCUUGAAAUUAAAAGAAACAGAAUUGGCAACUUUUUGUUCUCUUGUGAAUAAAAGCUAACUAAAUUACCCUAAAGUAAAUGAACAAAAGGAAAAUAAAGAGUAGUUGCUUGGUUUUGGAUUGCCUGUGGUCUGUGAGUUUAUGUGCAAAGUUUGAAUCCGGAGGGAAUCUCAAGCCUUCGUAUACAAACUUUAUAAUGGAAAUGCUGUCAAAUUCUUAAGUACAGCAAGGCAAAUGGUGCAGCUAUAGCAUGUUAAAAAAAAAUAUGAAAAUGCUCUGAACACAGGGUGAAGGCUAGCUGUCUUGACACUGAAUGUAGAAAGGUAAAUGAUUGGAACUUUAAUUACUUUGAUCCGUCAUGCCUUGUAGCUAUAUGUCAGCUAAGCCAACAAAACUGACAUAGAACAAAGGCCGUGACUGUUUCAACAUCUUAACUCAUUUCUUAUGGUUGAUUAAUAAGUCUAUUGAAUGAAACAUAUGAUGAGAAUUGAGGAAAACAUCAAGUGUGUGUUUAUACACACACACAUUUCCUGUGAGCAUGACUUUUCUUCAGUGGAUGUAUUGGUUCAGACUAUGAAGGAGUGGCAUACUUGGUGUACAGCUCUUACCACGUGUCUGGGAAUGAAGGUCUAUAAGCAAUAUAUACAUACACUUUGGUGGGAUGUUGUCCUUCUCUAGACUAUGUCUAUUUUUAAGUAAAUCCACACACUCCUGGAAUAGCUCAGAUUCCUUAUCUCUCAUUAAUUAUGGGCUAGCCUAAAUUCCUGCUAGAUUGAAUGUCCACGACCACCCAGUAUUUUCUUUGUUAAGGAGGGAAAGUCCCCUAAGAUACUAUAAAGCCUGUAGUAAACUAUAAAGUACACUUCUUCAUGGUGACCUUUCUUCCUAGUCUACUGGCUUCUUUCCUUCCCAAAUCCAGACCUCUCUCUCAGGUACUAGCAGCAUUUCAGUCAUCUAGAACAGAAGUCCAAUGGGACAGCUCAUGUUUACGACUUGCAUUCAAGUCAUGUCUUUCAUUCCUGAAUGCUGAUCCUGAUUUGACAGAAUAAGGCAGCUACGAACUUCUGACCCAAAAUAACUUGGACCUAAAGCUUUCACUUUAAUUUCCUCUUUUCACAAAUCAUUCAGUUCAGUGCUGAUUUCAGAGGUACUUCUAUUAGUGUACUAGUAUGCUUGAUAUUAAUAAAUGUGGUUUCCAAGUAUAUGAUCUAGUUGCAGCAGGUAUGAUGAGAGAAUUUGGCCCAUGUAGCAAAACAGAACCAUUUGCCUAAACUGAUGCUAACUGACAGGUCAUGGCUGUGUGUCUCAGAGACAAAAUCAAAAUAUUUUAAUGAAUAAAAUGUGUAUUGCAGCAAUUGCACUAAGAACCAUGUGAAUAGUGAGGAAACUUGUGCAUGCUGGAGCUGUGUGGCCAUGAUGCUGAUUUCCAUGGCUCAUCAGAUCCCACGAUGUCCUGCUAAGACAUUUUGAGCUAGGAUCAGUCAUGCCAAGAUGGGUUCUGAGACUCAGCCCCUCCACCUGCAUGAACCAUCCUGACAGCGGUCUUGGACUUCCAAUGACUUCCAUAAAUCUUUUGCAGUAAUUAACUAUCCAAUUCUCACAUUUUAAGUGUAUGUUGAAUUACAGAAUCAGCAUUCAAGUUUGAAUGGUUUUUCCUGUCUCUAAUGUUGCUUAUAUUUGGAGCUAAUUUUUAGAGGAAGUCCUUCAAGAUGCAGUUGAAAUAGUCUGCACUGGAUUUCUCACAACUCAUUUGAUGCUAUUUUCCAGUCAGCACAUCUAGUUCAAGACCCCUCUCUUCCAUCAUUCGAAGCUCUGGAACAUUAAACACUGUCUUGUGUUAUAGUUUGAAUAUGAGAUUACUUAAGUAGCUGUGAAUAUCUCAGCAACAUAUCUGCUCUACAAAGGGAACACACAUUUGGAUGCUGCCUGAAAUGCUAAUAUUUUACAGAGAAUUAUAUAGAGCUGUUCAUUAACUACUUAUUUUUGCCUUUGUGCAAUAUUCUACAAAAUAUGUUUCUAAACUCUAGUUCAGCAACUAAACCAGUGAUUUUAUUUGAAGUGCAGCACUAAAGAGCUGGCGUUUAAAACAUUUAGCUCUGAUUUUGCAUUUUAAAAGUAUGCUAAUAUUACGAAGGAUCAAAUUGCUAGAAUGUUUUUAUGGAAUGAGAUUUUUUGUUAAAGUUUACAUAGCAAAGUAAAAUUGGGUAUAAAUAGAAUGUAGUCAAUUAAUUCAUUUAAGCUAAUUUAUAGAUUAGACUACAUUCUGUAUCCCAUGAAAAUUAAUAGGAGUCCUCUUGCUUUGAUUUAUAUGGUGUCCAGAUAUCAUCUCCUAAAUUUGGCAUAUCUUUAGUAUGUGUCUUAGUGCAAAAGUUGUCUGAUGUGACUACAUGAUUGCUUUCCAAAAAUUUUUACAAUGUAAUGCAUUUUUAAGUACAGUAUUAUGAAAGGGUGUGUGUACAUGUGUCUUUCAUACCAGUUUGAUAUCUGUAUGUGUUAUUAGUGUUACAGCAGCCUAUUAUUAUUCAGGCAAAUAGGCAGUACAUUUGGUGUAAGUAUAGAAAGUAAAAUACCCAUAAGAGUCCUUUACAUAGGCUUCCUUCCCAGUGAGUAAUAGUAUAGCAACCUGAUAAAAGGUAGGUAUUUUGCAUAUAAAUAGUCUAUGGUAAGGACACGUAUAAUAAGGAUACUUUUGUUACACCCAAGCAUAGUUGGAAUUCACCUAUUUUGGAAGUGAUCUUUGUGACCUACUCUGAUUUUCAUUUUUUCUCAUUGUAGAAUCUUAUUCCAGACCAUACAUUGCUAAUAUCCUUGCUAAUUUUAUUGUUAAUGUAUUGCUAAUAUCACACGUUGCUAAUGACUGCUAUUGGGUAGCCAUUUUUAUACUGAAAACAAAAACAAAAACACAGAAGAAAAAACAACAGCAACAAAAAAAACAUAAAUAGGGAAGUUGUAGCCAAACUGUGCAAUGUGGUUGCUUUUAUGAUGAAGCAAAAAGCCCACUGCACUAAAGAUCAUGAAAAUGCCAACUAUACUCCCAAUUGUGACACUGGCCUGCUGUCUGCCCUUGAGCAAGUUACAUCAUGAGUCUGUAUCUUGGUAUGAUCACACAGUGCAAUACUUAGCUUCCUUGGAGAAGCGUUUUAAGAUUGACAAAUGAAAACCUACUAUAUAAUACACUAUCAAAUGUAAUUAUUAUCGAGUUACCAGUUACCAUUAUUGAGUUAUUAACUUGGCAAAAAUGUGUCUAGAACAAAAAGGGCAGCAAGAUAAAAGCAAAUACUGAUAAUGUCUCUGUUCUUCCCUCUGUGUAGACAUUGGAUGGUAACGGAAACAAAUCCUUCAUGUGUUGUUUGAGCCCAGCAGGGAAACAGAAAUGCUUUCCAAAAAGAGAGAAAAUAUAGAAAAAUGCAAGCAAGAAAGGAACUAAUCCUUCAUAUUUAUCUAGGAACUCCUGAACCCCAUUUAGAUAGGUAUAUUCUUUCUUGGGGCAAAUGACUUAAUUGAAAUUAAUGUUAUAUGAUCUAUAAAAAUAUUUUUUCAGGUCUCUUGGCUUUCCUAAAUGAAAAUUGAACUUUCUAAGGCCUUUCUCUACAACAUAAGUUUAUUUUUAGUAUCAUGAAUGCCUAAUAAAGAAUGUUUUAUCCACCUGUAGGAAAGUUAUUCAAACCUUGAAGAAAACACUGCAAAAUAUUGUAUAUGGAAUCAUUAUGUCCCUGCUACAAUAUAAACAUUGCUAGGAGCUAUUCAGUGAUUUUGAAGACAGGAAAGCUAGAACAGCAAAGAGCAGAAAACACCUGAAAAAAAUAUCUGCUCUAAAUACAACUGUAAAAUAUAUUUGUAUAAAUAAUUAAAAUUAAGUUUAACUGUGAUAUCCUAGUUACUUCUUUUAUUUUUGUAUGACACAAUAAUGAGAAAAAGAAACUAGGUAUCUUUAAAGAACAGCACCUGUAGCUGUUUCUUUUGAAAAUGUUGUGAAGAUUUUUGAAGGACAGAAGUGGUUUCAUAAAUGGUGUUAUAAGUUAUUCUAUGUAUUAUUAUUUUUAAAAGUCUUAUUUGUGGCUUCAGUCUAUGCUAAAAAUCAACUUUACAGUAGUAAGUGAAGAGUGAUUCACAUAUGUUGGGUGUUUUUAUUAAGGAAUCGUUUUGAUUAUGGCUGAAACUGACUCCUCAAGCCAACCGUCUGUACAAAGAAAAAGCAUUAACUGUAGGGAUAGAAUUGAUUACUGAACAUUCCUGUCUGGUAGCAUAAGUAAAGUACAUCAAGGGAGGUAGAAAAGAAAGACAUGAAUCAGCAAUCAGAGAAGACAGGGCAAAAGAGACCUGAGAGGUCAUCUAAUGCAUCCCUGCCUCAAGGUAAGAUCAACAAUACCUAUGUCAGUCUUGACAGAUGUUUGUUUAAUUCUUUUUAAAUGCCUGCAGUAAUAGAGAUUUCCUAACUUCCUUGGCAUAUUAUUUCAGUUGGUAACUAUCCUCACAAUUCAGAAGUUUUCCCCAACUCCUAACCUAAAUUUUCUUUCCUACAGCUUAGUUUUCUCUUAUUCUCCUAGUGAGUAUCAAGAAGAACACACUCCACUAACAUCACAGAAACCUUUCACCUUUUUUGAAAAUUGCUACCAUAUUUUUCUUGGUGAAACAGCUCCAUUCCUUGUCAGCCUCUCUCAUUUCUUGAACAUUUGGAGUGCAAAUGGAGACUCUAAAAAGGAAGAUUCUUUCCUCCUUGUGGAGAUGCAGAAAGUUCAGUUUUCUCCUUUGUCUUACUCAAAUCAAAUUCAAGCCCCAAGAGAGCUUGUGAAAGCAUAUUCUCACCUUUACCUCAAAAGAUUAUCUGUGAAUGAGUACUGGUUACAGUAAAACAUGGAUUACGGGUUGGUGGUAACCCAUCUAGCCAGUGCAUUCUUGUUGGGCUGCAUCCUUUAAGUGCUGGUUGUAACUCAAGUGGGUUUUACACCUGUGUUGGCAACAACUGAGUUACUGAACUUGAUCUCAUUGAAGCUCUUUGUUUUAUCUUCUGAAGUAUUUUGUCUUUGCAGUGUGUAUGUGUGUUUUCUACAGAAACUCAGCACAUCUGAGAAGGCUGCAUCUGGUGUAUGGAGGCAGAAGGGGAGGCAAGUGCUAGUCAAGUUCAGAAUUUGCUGCUCAACAACAGAUGUAUUUGGGGCAAAUAAUCAACCAAGCAGCUGAGCUUUAAUUUCAGCAUACCUGCAGAAAGCUCAGGAAAGUCUGGGCCAGCCACGUGCAAAACUAUGUCCCAGAGUUGAGCAGUGAUGAAACUAGCCUUUCUGCGAUGGGAAAGGAGGGAAAGCUCGAAGUAUAACCAAAGAGCAGCAGCAGGGUAUGGACAGAUGAGAGGCCAUCACUGGUGGUGCAAAUACCAUCCUGUGGACCUUCCGCUUGUCCUCCAGAUACCAAAGGGUCAAAGAUGACAAGAGGCCAUCCUAAGUACCUUGAGUAGAUUGCAAAAUGAUGUUUUGUUACAGGAAAAAGGGAAGUGUAGCCAAUAACUAACCCCUCCAAAUCACCUUUUUUUUUUUUUUUUUCCUUUUUCUUUUCCUGAUUAUGUGAAUUGCCUUUAAUUGGUAUGAAGAACAUAAUAAAUAUUUUGUUCUUCCAAGAAGUUGUUGUUCAACAUCUCAAACUUUUCUUUAAAAAAUUUAGGCCAGCUCCAAAAUACUCAGAAGUGUGACUUCAUUGAAUGCUCUUAAAAUCCAUAUUUAGUUCCCAAAUAAGUAGCCUAAUUUUCCGUAACACUGUGUAAUCAGUAAGUCUCAUUGACCUCCCUAAGAGUGUCUGCCUUCUCAGCAUUUCCAAAAAUGAAAGCAAUGUGUGUUUUUUUCUGUAGUCAAAUAUACUCUGAGAGUUUUAACUUCUUAGUAUUUUUGAAAGAAAGUACUUUAUAAGAAGGUAUUGAACUUUCUCUGUUUAUGUGUUGUUUGAGGGACAUAGCCAGGAUGAAUAAUUGCAUGUGUUUGUCUUCAGAUAAUUAUAUAUUAUUUUAUUCUAAGUUGAUAUUAAUCUUUUAUUAGAUUUGAAUAACAUGAGAAGAUUAAGCUGUCUUGGGCUGUGCAGGAAAUAAAAGAACGGUUGUGGAUUUUGCUGGGAAAAUGUGUGGAAAUUUCCAUCUCCUUAUUUUAGGUGGUUUGGGAAUUUAAGUGAUGAUCAGAUUAGUGUAACCUCAUUUGGGACUGUACGCACUAGAACCUCCAGUCCUUGGAGUUUUGUCAUUUUGACUCCUAUCUCACACAUUUUUAUCACCUGAAAUAACUUGUUGUCAUGCUGCUACUGAAAGAACCAUUUAUUAUUCUUAGAUCUGCUAUACAAAUAAGGCCAUGAAGAUUGUUAACUGUGUAUUUAUCCUGUGAAAUAUCACAAGCUGUUAUGAGUAUUUUAUUAAACAUGAAGCAUCUCAAUAAAUCUUAUAUCUAAUUUGUAACAAAAGUUUAACUCUGAAAAGUUCAGAUUACAUUCCUGUAAGACUCUUUUUCCAGACAGGAGACGUGAAUUUUCUCUCUUCCUGGUAAUCUUAUGGGAACAAAAUUGUUUGGGAUUUAAACUUCUAUGCUGCAGGUCUUCUGUUUCACUAAUAAUGGUCAAACUUCACUAGCCUACCUCACCCUCCAUAUUUCUCAUUAUUAAGGGUCUGUUCAAGAUAUAUCAUUUCCAUAAAAAACAUAGCAAUAUUUCAUUUAAAUGGUACAGAAAAGCUUUGCAAAACCGUACAGUUCCCUUGGCUUUGAUAAUGUCUUUUACAUUUGCCUUGAACCUUGAAGACAGGGUAGAUGAGCCUGCAAGACAGUUCUGUACAAAGGAAGAGAGGUAACAUGCUAACAAGGAAAAUCUUAUUGUAAUAUGCAGCCCUGAGGCUGAAACAUAUUUUAAAAUGCUAAAAAAAGUUCUCUUUCCACCUGUGUGGUGCUCUGUACCUUCCCAGAGUGUCUUUCUGGAGGCCUCAAGGUAUUCAGGGAUGAAAAGCUGUGUAAUGCCUGGAACAUCACUUGCCGGUGUUUGCCUCAGAAAGAAAUCCCUGUGCUUACACAUCAAGAAGUGGCAGCAUUCCCUUUAUUGCAGUGGCUGAGCAGUUCCCACCUCGUUUCAGAGAGAAAGGGGGACCACAAUGCCCCAAAUCAGGCAUGGCCGUGGGGGCUGGCAGCAGUGCGGGUGUAGCCUGGUAUGUAUUACUGGAAUGCAUGGCUGUAAAACACGGUGAUGCAGAUUGGGAGGUCUGGCAUUGUUUUGAAGUCUUCUGAUGCUUACUUUAUAUUUCCAAUAUCUUCUUGAAUCUCGUUUUCAUGCCCCUCCAAGUGUUGAGGUUUCCACAGUUUCAUUAGGAAAAACACUCAAUGUUGUAAUUGCUUCAACGUACAUUAAAACAACUAGUAAUUCCCUUUCAUUUUAGCUGCUUUUUUAUUUUAUGGUCUAAAGAAAGUUGUAUACAAUUAUCCAUUAAAGGAUAAUACCCCUUUUUAAUUUUCCUCUGAUUUUUUUUUUUUUUUUUCCCUCUUAUUGCCAGUAUCUUUAUGGUAAUAGAAAUGGACAAUUCUGAUAUGUUGCUAUAUACAUUUUCCUAAUGAGUCUACUUUUCUGCAGCCUUGCAUCUUUCCCAUGUUUUACACCCAGCCAAUGCAUUGAAGAGUGAUACCAUGCCAGGAUACUUCUGUUAGCAUCCACUUUGCACAGAAGAAAAUACAUUGAGCAUGAGAGCUGAAAGAUCUGACCAGAAGUUAUGCUGUGGAAACUGAGAACUUACAGCAAUUGCAAUAUAAUAAAGUAGCCAUUUGUAUGUAGAGUUUGUUGCAGAAACCAGUUAGAUACUAUCUGUGCAUAUAAAAUAAGCUCCUUAUGAUUUAUUUUUGUUUAAACUCAUGGUGCAACAUCAUUCAGUAAUACUAUUUUGUAUUUCUACAAAAGUCAUAUUUGCACUGAAAUGCAAACAUGUUCAGGUAAAAAGAUGAUGGAUACUACAGGUGAGAAAUAGCUUAUUUAUAGUGAUUUAAAUGGAUUUUGGUUGGGCUUUGAUUGCUAUAUUUUAUGAUACAUAGAAAAUCCCUCUUUUGCUAGACUUUUUACUCUUGAGAAACUCAUGUAGAAUUAUUUAUAAGCUACUUCUCAUAUAUCAUCAGGAAAAUUCCUUAAUUUUAAUUCCUGUCUUCCAGAGUGACUGUGGGUCCCUUCUUUUGUAUUCUAAGAUUUCAUGUCACCACUGAACAGAUGAAGUAAUAUACCUCUUUGCAAGCUCAAAUGUGAAACAAUGUUAUGUUUUAGUAGUAAAAACAAUUAAGUUGAGGAAGCAUUUCACAUCACUAAUUCCUGUGUUAUUUUCAUUACAAGCAAUAGUUCUCAAAGCACCAACAGUUGAACAUGAAAAAUAAUACACUAAUAACUUCAGUGAGUGGAAUCUGUGUCCAUAUGAUAAUUGAUUACAAUUCUAGGAUCUGAUUUCAUUUCAAACAAUGCUUCUGAUAUCCAAUAGGACUACAGAACACAGAAAAUAUUGAAAACUCAUUUUAGAAUGUAAAUUCUAAUAAUUACCAAGGGGUGCAUGUAUGGACCUUAAAUUUAUAGUGUGGGAUGAAUAAGUAAGUGAGAGAGUUUUCAAAUGAAAAUAUAAAUUAAAAUAAAUAAUUUACUUUUAUUUACAAGCCAGUUGCUGACAUUUAAAUAAGAGAGUUUGGCAUUUCAUCAACAGGGACCCUCAGCUAAAUACAAAAAGUGUGUCUGAAAAUGUUUGUAUUCACAUGGCGCAAACAACCAUGAAAUGACUGUUUAAUCAGGAUAUUUGGGAUGCUUGUUCUUGUGUUGUGAAUGAGGUAUGGUUGAUCAGAAGGCACUAGUAAAUGAUUGGUGAUUUGAUACUUGUUUUGUGUUGUCUAAUCCUGGUAUGUUUAAAAAACGAAACAAACAAAAAACUCAAAACACUUAUUUGCAAAACUACUGAGAAGUGCAUGAUGCCCUACAAAAUCUGUAUGGUCUUCUCCCAACCAGAGCAACAGGAGCUAUGACACUGGGUAUUCACAGACCCAGUAGGGAGGAAUUUUAUCUUAGAAAGAGAAUUAUAAGUUGAGUUUUCUCCAUGUCAUAAAUAAAAACAGAACUGCAAACAUAAAAUGUAAUGAUAUUUUGUACAAAUUUACUUUUGUUACUGCUUUUCCAACAUUUUAAACAUCUAGUGCAUCUGAAAUCAUCUGUCCUUUUAGGAAGAUAAUAAACCAAACAAUAGUAGUCUGUAUUGUGAAUUAAUUAAAAGUACAGCAGUGUACUUUACAAUGGACAGAAAGCAUACAGGGCUAACUAGAUGGUUUUAAAUAGUGAUGAAGUACAAACUGGACAAGAAGAGUCUUUGUUCAUAUACAUUUAGAUUUCAAACUAAGAGAAAAAACGUAUUUUAUGAUUUUUUACCACUACCUGGUGACCUUUAUAGCAUGGUAUGAACUGAAAAACAUGCGUUUCAGUGGGUGGAUGGGAUGGAAGGGAUGUCAAAUGCUAUGUAGUGAAGAUAUCGCAGCAUUUCAGACAUAUUAUUAAUAAGAACAGAAUUCAGUUGCCUAUAUGAAAAUAACUCCUGACCAGGCAAGAAAGACAAACAAGAUUGUUCUUUAUAUCAGUUAAAAUACAAAUUGUCCUGUGAUUAUUUAGAGUUUUUAGAAGAUAACUUCUGUUUCAUGUGGCAUCAGUGUUCUUGGCAUCUCUCACCAUGGUAUGCAGUUCUGGACUCAGGCCAGAUUAAACAGCCAAGUAGCUCUGCCUUUUGAUCCAAAGGCACAGGAGAGUAGCAAAAAUAAUUCUCCAAUGUCAAAAUCUAUUUUCUUACUUUCUGCAGUAGUUAACAUUUCGUGAUGUAUAUGCACAAGCUCAUAAUCAUAUAAUGAAACACAGUUUGUUUUAUGAGGCUACAAGGACAUAUGUGGGAAAGAAAUAUGAUGCUUUUUUUUUAUUUUAUUUAGAUUUGCAGCAAUGAAAAUUAUUCAUACUUUGCAUGAUGUUUGAAGUUACCAUUCUGAAGUCUUGCUAUGUCUGUGCUAUGUAAAAUGAGUAUUGGUGUUACAUCAGUAACACAUCACGGUGUCUCAUUAACACUAACUGACUCCCAGAAUUUCUGAUUUUUGUCCUCUCUACUUCUUCCAUAGGAACACUGUGAGUCUUGUGAGUUUGUUCUCAGUUUUGGGAAGGUGUUUUAAAACAGUUCUUGUUUUGUUGCUCUGUGGUGUAAUCAAAUGACAUCCACAGAGAUUAAGGGAAUUGACAAAUUCAUAUUUAUUAAUUGACAAAUUCAUAUUUCACAAAUACAUAUAAUGUCUGCAAUAGGAUAAUUAAUAUCUUAUUUUCUCAUUAAGUUCAAUAUGUUAUUCUUGUAUAUUUAAAGCAUUUCAGUAUUUUAGACUUUUCUUAUUCUGGAAUUCACAGACUAUUUUGUUUGUCAGAAAAUUUGUUUCUAAAAAUCUAUAAUUAAAUUUAUGAAAGUUUAAUUUCAGCAAAAGAAAAAAAAAAAACAACUUAUGAAAUGGAAUUGUUCUCUGAACUUUUAACAGUAAAAUUGGUUCUUUUUUCAAUUUCAUUUGACAGCCUGAAAUCUGAAUACUUUCUUAUACUUCUUGUAGUCCUGUAAACCCAUUGCUGGUGGUCAUCAUUUCAGGGAUCAGUAACAAGAUAAAGCCUUCAUUGUUUAGAAAAAUGGUUGCUCUCAAACGAGUUUGUGUUUCAUCUAGAGAUUAAACCAAAAAAGCGGAAAGUCUAAAGCAACACUUUCUGAGGUUCAACUGGAAGUAUUUGAGUGAGUAUGAUGAUGUGUGAGUUGUAUUUUCAUACCAAAAUAUCCUUAGAAAGUUCAUGAAAGCCCUGUGGUGAAUGUUGUCAUUUUGGUAGCUAAGGUAGAAGAUGGUGGAUAUUACCUUCUGGCUUUGACAUUGCUAGAUUUGCACUAGUUUAAAUUUGGUUGAAUAAUUACUGAAGUCUUUGCGAUAGCUUCUAACUUUAAAGCAGUUUUCAUUGUUGUUAUUAUAAGGUUUAAAAAUAAUGUUAUUAUAAUAUUUUAAAAUAACUUUUGGCCUUUUUAUUUUAACAUAUUCUUCUAAGGAAGUCCUGUUUAUAAAGAAGAAAAUGUCUCUCAUUCCCAUUUCACAGUUAAACAGAAACACAGAGGAUUUAAGUGACUUUCCACAGAAAGAAGCAACUUUCUUGAUAUGAUGAGUUGAUUAAGUUUCACUGUAUAUGACUGUCUUGUCAGCACAACAUGGUUUUUCUGUCUUUUGACAUUUUAAGUUGUAUCUUGAAGCCUUUGUCAGUUUCCUUACUGCAUUUUCACUGGCUAUCAGAAUUUCAAGGAGUAAGUUUUGUACAGUACUCAGAAUUGUGAACAUGAUAGCAGAUCUAACAUUCAGACCAUGCAAUGAAAUGGUCCAUGAAGAGGAGGUCAAAGACAUAGUAACAUCUGACAAAAAAAGAGCAUGUGUUGGAUCAGAGCUGAUGGACUAAUCCUCUCUCUUGAGUCCCUGAGCACAUUUUCCAUUCUAUGUAUCUUGAGAAGGAAAGAGAAGCACAUGCCUGGAUUUGGUAUUUGAUGACCAUAGGGUGAAGAACAAAAUAAUAACUGUAAAUAGGCUUUUGAGUAGUAAAGUCACCAUAAAGGAUGCUGAUGAAAGUUGUUCAAAACAUUGGUUUAAUUGUAGGAAGGGACAUGACACAAAUAGAAGUUUUGAAAAUAAGGAGAGGUGUUUGAGAAGCAAGAUCUGGAACAGAAUGAAUGAGGAACUCGAAUGUGGGAAAGAUUUAGGAAACAAACAAACAAACAAACAAACAAACAAAACAGGAAGAUGUGGUGAGCCUUCCUUGACUUUUCAAAGAUGAUAAUUUCAAUGACUGAAAUUUUCCCCCAUACAGAAUAUCAGGGUGACAGGAUGAGGCUCGCUACAGUGAUCAGGACCAGAGGUGAAAACGUCUUGGAUGAGAAGUAUCAGCUUUGUGGACAGACAAAAAUAGUCUUACUAGGGUGGGUGAUGAUUCAGGCUGGACCUCAGUGUUGCAGGACUACCUACCUCAGCUGCAGCAUCUUGCUCCAUUAAUCACCUCUAAUUCAGUGUUUUAAUUUUCUAAACCCACCUGCAGCUGAGGGUGGACUGGUAAUAUUGAAUGAACAUAAAUAUGUGAUUAUGAUCCAUUUGUAAUAAAAUUGGGUAAAGACACCCUCUCCUGUGUGUAGGAGAGUACUUGUGCCCUAGUGCUGCAGAGAGCCCUGGGUGGCCUGGAGUCUGCCUAGUAAACCAGCCUGUGCAGCUAGCAUGCAAAGGGACUGGGGAAAAAGACUUUUCACUGCCAACCUUGAAAUCCCUGCAGCAGGACCCCAGGCACUGAGUGAGAAUAGUUGUGUAUAGUCCAAUUUUAAAAAACUUCAGAGUCCAGAAAGAUUUCAGCAGAUACAUUUUUUUGUCUGAUUUUUGCUGCCCGGUGCCAUACAGAUAGGUUUGCUGAAGUAUUAGCUAUCACUUUAAAUUCUUCUCGCUUUGAGUCAUUCCAUCCUGUAUAUAAUUUGAACAGGUUUUUGCAUAAUUAUUUCUCCUAAUAAUUACCAUUAUACAAUUGCUAUAGCUGCCAGUUUUGUUUUUCUUUUCUGCCGGAGAAUAGCAGAAAUGUAUUACGCAUUUGUGUAACUUAUGAUCUUUGAUUCAUGUUUAAAAUGCAUGGAAUAUUUUUCAUUUUCUGUUUGAGGCAAUACCUCAUCUGGGAUCAUAUCUCACAGUGUAAGUUUACACUGUUUAAAUGGAUGCCUUGUACUGCAACUGGGUAUAAUCUACAAUGAAAAAGCAAAAGAGGUCAACAGAAUUGAAUUUUUUAAGGCGUUAGAGGACUGGCAAAUAUUAAUGGCAGCAGGUAGAAGCAUACUGCAGCUGGACUGUAACGCAGAAAGCCUUUGUGUAUUUUUUUUUCCUUUUAAAUAAAUUUGAUUUGACCAUCA